AGAGUUUGAUCAUGGCUCAGAUUGAACGCUGGCGGCAGGCCUAACACAUGCAAGUCGAGCGGUAGCACAGAGAGCUUGCUCUCGGGUGACGAGCGGCGGACGGGUGAGUAAUGUCUGGGAAACUGCCUGAUGGAGGGGGAUAACUACUGGAAACGGUAGCUAAUACCGCAUAAUGUCGCAAGACCAAAGUGGGGGACCUUCGGGCCUCAUGCCAUCAGAUGUGCCCAGAUGGGAUUAGCUAGUAGGUGGGGUAACGGCUCACCUAGGCGACGAUCCCUAGCUGGUCUGAGAGGAUGACCAGCCACACUGGAACUGAGACACGGUCCAGACUCCUACGGGAGGCAGCAGUGGGGAAUAUUGCACAAUGGGCGCAAGCCUGAUGCAGCCAUGCCGCGUGUGUGAAGAAGGCCUUCGGGUUGUAAAGCACUUUCAGCGGGGAGGAAGGCGUUAAGGUUAAUAACCUUGNNCGAUUGACGUUACCCGCAGAAGAAGCACCGGCUAACUCCGUGCCAGCAGCCGCGGUAAUACGGAGGGUGCAAGCGUUAAUCGGAAUUACUGGGCGUAAAGCGCACGCAGGCGGUCUGUCAAGUCGGAUGUGAAAUCCCCGGGCUCAACCUGGGAACUGCAUUCGAAACUGGCAGGCUAGAGUCUUGUAGAGGGGGGUAGAAUUCCAGGUGUAGCGGUGAAAUGCGUAGAGAUCUGGAGGAAUACCGGUGGCGAAGGCGGCCCCCUGGACAAAGACUGACGCUCAGGUGCGAAAGCGUGGGGAGCAAACAGGAUUAGAUACCCUGGUAGUCCACGCCGUAAACGAUGUCGAUUUGGAGGUUGUGCCCUUGAGGCGUGGCUUCCGGAGCUAACGCGUUAAAUCGACCGCCUGGGGAGUACGGCCGCAAGGUUAAAACUCAAAUGAAUUGACGGGGGCCCGCACAAGCGGUGGAGCAUGUGGUUUAAUUCGAUGCAACGCGAAGAACCUUACCUGGUCUUGACAUCCACAGAACUUUCCAGAGAUGGAUUGGUGCCUUCGGGAACUGUGAGACAGGUGCUGCAUGGCUGUCGUCAGCUCGUGUUGUGAAAUGUUGGGUUAAGUCCCGCAACGAGCGCAACCCUUAUCCUUUGUUGCCAGCGGUCCGGCCGGGAACUCAAAGGAGACUGCCAGUGAUAAACUGGAGGAAGGUGGGGAUGACGUCAAGUCAUCAUGGCCCUUACGACCAGGGCUACACACGUGCUACAAUGGCAUAUACAAAGAGAAGCGACCUCGCGAGAGCAAGCGGACCUCAUAAAGUAUGUCGUAGUCCGGAUUGGAGUCUGCAACUCGACUCCAUGAAGUCGGAAUCGCUAGUAAUCGUAGAUCAGAAUGCUACGGUGAAUACGUUCCCGGGCCUUGUACACACCGCCCGUCACACCAUGGGAGUGGGUUGCAAAAGAAGUAGGUAGCUUAACCUUCGGGAGGGCGCUUACCACUUUGUGAUUCAUGACUGGGGUGAAGUCGUAACAAGGUAACCGUAGGGGAACCUGCGGUUG
This 1521-nucleotide ribosomal RNA is filed under the name Klebsiella pneumoniae subsp. pneumoniae. RNAcentral describes it as "bacterial SSU rRNA". It matches the Rfam family "Bacterial small subunit ribosomal RNA". Lineage: Bacteria; Pseudomonadati; Pseudomonadota; Gammaproteobacteria; Enterobacterales; Enterobacteriaceae. The record is from RNAcentral.